Non-coding RNA from Acanthosepion pharaonis, 95 nucleotides. Lineage: Eukaryota; Metazoa; Mollusca; Cephalopoda; Sepiida; Sepiidae. The record is from the annotation of a GenBank genome assembly.
CGUUAAAACAUCGAUUCCCGUACGAUCAACGAAGUUAAGCAACGUCGAGCCUGGUCAGUACCAAGUUAGGUGUCCACUUGAGAUGUGCUGGUGCU